Molecule: transfer RNA, 68 nt
Filed under: Carnegiella strigata (marbled hatchetfish)
Lineage: Eukaryota; Metazoa; Chordata; Actinopteri; Characiformes; Gasteropelecidae
Description: tRNA-Phe
Source: RNAcentral
GCCAACGUAGCUUAAAUAAAGCAUAAUGCUGAAGAUAUUAAGAUGAACCCUAAAAAGUUCCGCAGGCA